GAUGAACGCUAGCUACAGGCCUAACACAUGCAAGUAGAGGGACCGGCGCACGGGUGAGUAACAAGUACCCAACCUGCCUUUUACUCGGGGAUAGCCUAUAAAAAGAAAGAUUAAUACCUGAUGUAAAGAAUGGGGAUGGGUUCCAUUAGGUUGUAGGUGAGGUAACGGCGCACCAAGCCUUCGAUGGAAAGGGGUUCUGAGAGGAAGGCCACCGACAUUGGAACUGAGACACGGUCCAAACUCCAAGGGGAGGCAGCAGUGAGGAAGAGUGGUGGAGGGGCGUUAGCCUGAACCAGCCAAGUAGCGUGAAGGAUGAAGGCUUAUGGGUCUUAAACUUCAUUUAUAAAAGAAUAUGUAUUAUAUGAAUAAGGAACGGCUAACUCCGUGCCAGCAGCCGCGGUAAUAC
This 406-nucleotide ribosomal RNA is filed under the name uncultured bacterium. Its description in RNAcentral is "partial 16S ribosomal RNA". It matches the Rfam family "Bacterial small subunit ribosomal RNA", at positions 28 to 526 of the family's 1533-position model. The record is from RNAcentral.